This 1093-nucleotide long non-coding RNA is filed under the name Sus scrofa (pig). RNAcentral describes it as "lncRNA (ENSSSCG00015014984.1)". The record is from RNAcentral. Lineage: Eukaryota; Metazoa; Chordata; Mammalia; Artiodactyla; Suidae.
UGUUAUCAUAAUACAGUCGUAUCUGAAACAGAUACAUACUUUUUCUAAUGGUGCUUUUUUUGUCAUCCAUGUACUGAUCCACCCCUACGAUUCAAUGCAUGUAGUUCUGGAUGCUAAUUAUAGCAUUCUACCAGCACCACUAAUUUAGGAUCGUCCAUGUGAGUCAACAACAUUUCAUUCCCCUGGCUGCAGUAACUGACCCAUGGAUAGUGUGUGAUGUAACGCAGACCAAUCAGGAUCUUACUUUAUACUGUGCAUACUAAUACUACAACCCACCACCUGAUACCUUCAGAGAGAGUUGAAAGUGCACUGUUGCUUAGCUGGAGUGCUGCAGCCCUAGGACUGCCCACAGCCAUAUUCCAGCCCCAGGGUACAAAGCUUUGUGUGAAAGAGAAUAAUAUGGUUGGUACCCAGUGUAGUAGGAACAGGAAUGACGAAUAAUUGGAUAGAAGCUAAAACACUCUCACAUCGCCAGAUCUUCCUGUUUCUUAAAACCAACAUCCCUCCUGUCUUUUUGCGUUAACGAAUGGAUAGUUACAAUCAUCCACAUUUCUUUUUCACUAACAUUAGUUUGAAUUGAAAAAAACAUUGUGAAGGCAUAUUAUAUGGAAGGUAAGUCGUUGUUUCGGAAGAAAUUGUGUGUUUUGAUUUUUACUGGAGUAAAUACGUACCAGGACUAAACAAUUACAGUAAAUACAAUACAACGUCAUUAUCACACCCAUGCAAUAUUACUUGUAAAAAAAAUCUAAUUUGGUGUCUUUUAUUGACUGGAAAUAAAAAUAGGGAGGCAAACAAACAAACCCAAAAAGAAGCACUACUCUCUCUUACCCAUAAAAUCAAUGUGUUUACCUCUGAACAGAUGGAGUUGAAUUGAGUCUGUUGGACCUUUGACAAGACUGAGAAUCUUGAGGGCUGAGUCAGCGCUCAUUUCAUAAAUCUGUUCUGGAGUGUGGCAGCCUGAUUUGUACCAUAUUCUGAUUUGAUCUGUGUAAAUAUGCUCACCGCCACUGAUUUCAAGUUACCAGCCACUUCACAGAGCUCCUGAAUGUGAAACGAUGGGCUCCAGCACACGACUGGCAGGUGCAGCGUCUCC